RNAcentral lists this ribosomal RNA (492 nucleotides) under uncultured bacterium. RNAcentral's name for it is "partial 16S ribosomal RNA". It matches the Rfam family "Bacterial small subunit ribosomal RNA", at positions 29 to 507 of the family's 1533-position model. The record is from RNAcentral.
AGUGAACGCUGGCGGUAGGCCUAACACAUGCAAGUCGAACGGCAGCACAGUAAGAGCUUGCUCUUACGGGUGGCGAGUGGCGGACGGGUGAGGAAUACAUCGGAAUCUACUUUUUCGUGGGGGAUAACGUAGGGAAACUUACGCUAAUACCGCAUACGGCCUACGGGUGAAAGCAGGGGAUCUUCGGACCUUGCGCGAUUGAAUGAGCCGAUGUCGGAUUAGCUAGUUGGCGGGGUAAAGGCCCACCAAGGCGACGAUCCGUAGCUGGUCUGAGAGGAUGAUCAGCCACACUGGAACUGAGACACGGUCCAGACUCCUACGGGAGGCAGCAGUGGGGAAUAUUGGACAAUGGGCGCAAGCCUGAUCCAGCCAUACCGCGCGGGUGAAGAAGGCCUUCGGGUUGUAAAGCCCUUUUGUUGGGAAAGAAAAGCAGCAGGUUAAUACCCCGCUGUUCUGACGGUACCCAAAGAAUAAGCACCGGCUAACUUCGUG